RNAcentral lists this ribosomal RNA (275 nucleotides) under uncultured bacterium. Its description in RNAcentral is "partial 16S ribosomal RNA". It matches the Rfam family "Archaeal small subunit ribosomal RNA", at positions 473 to 747 of the family's 1478-position model. The record is from RNAcentral.
ACACCAGGGCCACGAGUGGGGACCACAAUUAUUGGGCCUAAAGCGUUCGUAGCUGGCUUUGUAAAUCUUCUGUGAAAUUGUCAUGCUCAACAUGUCAGCGUGCAGAAGACACUACAAAGCUUGAGACCGGGAGGAGUUAGAGGUAUUUCUAGGGUAGCGGUAAAAUGCUAUAAUCCUAGGAGGACCACCUGUGGCGAAGGCGUCUAACUAGAACGGGUCUGACAGUGAGGAACGAAAGCCAGGGGAGCGAACCGGAUUAGAAACCCGAGUAGUCC